Molecule: ribosomal RNA, 465 nt
Filed under: uncultured bacterium
Lineage: Bacteria
Description: partial 16S ribosomal RNA
Rfam family: Bacterial small subunit ribosomal RNA
Source: RNAcentral
GACGAACGCUGGCGGCGUGCUUAACACAUGCAAGUCGAACGGAAAGGCCCCCUUGUGGGGUACUCGAGUGGCGAACGGGUGAGUAACACGUGAGUAACCUACCCUUGACUUUGGGAUAACUUCAGGAAACUGGGGCUAAUACCGGAUAGGAGCUCCUGCUGCAUGGUGGGGGUUGGAAAGUUUCGGCGGUUGGGGAUGGACUCGCGGCUUAUCAGCUUGUUGGUGGGGUAGUGGCUCACCAAGGCUUUGACGGGUAGCCGGCCUGAGAGGGUGACCGGCCACAUUGGGACUGAGAUACGGCCCAGACUCCUACGGGAGGCAGCAGUGGGGAAUAUUGCACAAUGGGCGGAAGCCUGAUGCAGCAACGCCGCGUGCGGGAUGACGGCCUUCGGGUUGUAAACCGCUUUCGCCUGUGACGAAGCGUGAGUGACGGUAAUGGGUAAAGAAGCAACGGCUAACUACGUG